Molecule: unclassified non-coding RNA, 2275 nt
Filed under: Leishmania donovani
Lineage: Eukaryota; Euglenozoa; Kinetoplastea; Trypanosomatida; Trypanosomatidae
Description: gene:LdHU3.31.1400(CDS-product:ras-like_small_GTP ases_putative)
Source: RNAcentral
GUACAUGUAGUGCGGCGCCCUUGCUUCACCGCCUCCUGCUUCAUUCUUCAAAAUUGUGGAACACCUGGCCGAACACCCACUAACCGCAUGAGUUCGAUUGGCCAGCAUGUUAAUAUCGGUGACGCGGAUGACUACACCUACACUGAAGACCCGGCCGGUCAGCGGGUUAAAGUGCCAGUCUCAAAGGAGUACGUAUUCAAGGUGGUCAUACUCGGUGACUACAGCGUAGGGAAAACGUCGCUCAUCAAGCGGUUGCUUUCUAUUCCGGCUUCCUGUGCAUCUCCACGACGCCAUGAAGAUUGCUCUGACAUGGACGACAGCGUCGGCGACAGUGAUGCCGAUGACGUGCUGGCGACGGUGACGCCAACCGUGGGCACCGAUUUUUACUCACUCACCCUACCCGAUGUCGUCCCCGGUGCGUCCGUGCGACUCCAAAUAUGGGACACGGCUGGAUUGGAGAAGUAUGCGGCGAGCUACGAAAGCACGUUGAGAAACGCGUCCUUUGUCAUCUGCGUCUUCGAUGUGACGAACCCCAGCAGCUUGCACAGUGUGGUGGACCGCCAUCUCUCCAUCGUGGCGGAUCACGUGCCUCACCUCGACCAGAGCGACAUCAUGGUGGUGGCGAACAAAAUAGAUAUCAUCGCCGAUGUGUCGACGAACAGCGAAGCGCUCCGCAGUGCGCGAAAACGGGCCCGGCUUCCGGAAAACGCGUUUGUAAUCGCCAUAGAUGAAGACGCUUCUGUGGACACGAACGACAGCAGCCCUGACGUCUUCACAAGCGCUGAGGGUGCUAGCGACAACGCUAUCGUGACGGCACGGAAGGUGCAGGAGGAGGUGUUUGAUAUCUUCACCGACGUCCACUACGCCGAGGUGAGCGCCAAGACGAAGCAGCAUCUUCGGGAAAUGUUACAUGCCGUCUGCUACGCGCUGCUGCGAAACAGCGUCGGUGACAACCCGAACAUCCGGGUUCCCGAUGGAGCACCGCCGAGUGAGGUGUUCGCGCACACAGUAUUGCCACCGCACUCCAGUGCGAAAUGUUCGACAGGUGCCAGUGCAGGCACCUUCUCGGCUCCUCAGCUUGACCCGGCCACCAAGACGCCUCCUGCGGCGGUGCCGCGAGACUCGCCAACCACGGGCAGCUUGCAGCCACCACCGAGAACAACUCCCGCGCCCCCUGCCGCCAGCUGGCGUUCUAAUGAGGCCACUUCGUUUGACUUGGCGCCGACACACUUCAGUUCGAAGGCGGUUUUCUCUCCGGCGGAAGGAUCCGAAGGUGCCAUUGGCAAAUCGGGAGGUGAUGACUCUGCCCCGCGGCAUGUAGGCUCCGCUGGCGACAGCCCCGUUGAUGGGUCCUCCACACGGCUGCCGACGCCACGAGGGGAUCUUGCAAAAGCAGUAGAUGCUGGCGGAGUGCACCUUGACCUGACGGCUGGCUCGACGGAGCCGCGGACUGGGCCAGAUCCGAAAGAGGAUCCCAAGGCGCGAAAGGAGCGAGAGCAGGCAGAGAUGAAGGCUGUGCUGAGCCGUGCAGGCGGGAGGAAAGUGAACCCCAAUGGCGGCGGUGCCGACACAGGUAGCUUGGCGGCAUGGUUGCAGAGUGAUGCAGAUAGAAUGGAAAAUGACGUCGCUCUCGGGCUGAAGAAGGCCGGUGAUGCGCCGUCUGCCGCUCGCCCAGCGCCUGUCUCCUCUAUUCUGGACUCGCACGGAGUUCAGGAUCAUUGUAAAGGUAAUCAGGGCACCCGAGGCCGUGACUCUGACGAUGAUGACGACGGUGCGCGCAUGCAGGUGCAGCUAAAGGAGCGAUUUGCUCAGAUAGAACACGACAUACGCCAGAACGCCGCUGCAGCAAAUCAGCGCGCCAAGAAGGCCAAGAAGAAGACUAAAGCGAAGGGAAAGUGCAACUGCUGCGUACUGUGAGCAUCACGAGGCGCUGGUUCUGUGUAGACGAGUGAGGGGCGUAGGCGAUGGCCUGCCCUGGUUUCCUCCUUUGAUCGCUCCUCCCCCUUUAUGCCCCUGGAUUUCCUGUCUUAUUGGUGCGGCGUGCAAGUCUUGGCGUGUGCUGCGUUGCGCGGCGCCGCUCUCCGUCUCGUGACUGUUUCUCCUUGAUGUUUUUUUUUUUGUUUGGUUGGCGCUGCCUUCCUGCUCUUCUUUUUCUCGUCCUCACAAGUUUCCUCUCACCGCCCGUCGCUUGUCCUCCUCGCUCCUUUUCUCCUAGCUCUCCUCGUUGCUGUGUGUGCAGCGAGGCACCAGGACCUUUAUGUUCGUUUGCUGAGAG